AUUGAACGCUGGCGGCAUGCUUUACACAUGCAAGUCGAACGGCAGCGCGGGGGCAACCCUGGCGGCGAGCGGCGAACGGGUGGGUAAUAUAUCGGAACGUACCCAGAAGUGGGGGAUAACGUAGCGAAAGUUACGCUAAUACCGCAUACGAUCUACGGAUGAAAGUGGGGACCUUCGGGCCUCAUGCUUUUGGAGCGGCCGAUAUCUGAUUAGCUAGUUGGUGAGGUAAAGGCUCACCAAGGCGACGAUCAGUAGCUGGUCUGGAGAGGACGACCAGCCACACUGGAACUGAGACACGGUCCA
This 303-nucleotide ribosomal RNA is filed under the name uncultured bacterium. RNAcentral's name for it is "bacterial SSU rRNA". It matches the Rfam family "Bacterial small subunit ribosomal RNA", at positions 30 to 333 of the family's 1533-position model. The record is from RNAcentral.